ACUCCUACGGGAGGCAGCAGUGGGGAAUAUUGCACAAUGGGCGCAAGCCUGAUGCAGCCAUGCCGCGUGUAUGAAGAAGGCCUUCGGGUUGUAAAGUACUUUCAGCAGUGAGGAAGGCAGGUACGUUAAUAGCGUGCUUGUUUGACGUUAGCUGCAGAAGAAGCACCGGCUAACUCCGUGCCAGGCAGCCGCGGUAAUACGGAGGGUGCGAGCGUUAAUCGGAAUUACUGGGCGUAAAGCGCAUGCAGGUGGUUUGUUAAGUCAGAUGUGAAAGCCCGGGGCUCAACCUCGGAAUUGCAUUUGAAACUGGCAGGACUAGAGUACUGUAGAGGGGGGUAGAAUUUCAGGUGUAGCGGUGAAAUGCGUAGAGAUCUGAAGGAAUACCCGGUGGCGAAAGGCGGCCCCCU
RNAcentral lists this ribosomal RNA (407 nucleotides) under uncultured bacterium. RNAcentral describes it as "bacterial SSU rRNA". It matches the Rfam family "Bacterial small subunit ribosomal RNA", at positions 335 to 730 of the family's 1533-position model. The record is from RNAcentral.